RNAcentral lists this ribosomal RNA (1868 nucleotides) under human gut metagenome. RNAcentral describes it as "bacterial LSU rRNA". It matches the Rfam family "Bacterial large subunit ribosomal RNA", at positions 1 to 1980 of the family's 2925-position model. The record is from RNAcentral.
GAAAGUAAUUAAGGGCGAAUGGGGGAUGCCUAGGCUCUUGGAGGCGAAGAAGGACGUGGUAAGCUGCGAAAAGCUGCGGGGAUUUGCAAACGAGAUUUGAUCCGCAGAUAUCCGAAUGGGACAACCCGGCUGGCAGGAGGCCAGUCACACCGGAAGGUGGGCUAACCCUCUGAACUGAAACAUCUAAGUAGGAGGAGGAGAAGAAAGAAACAUCGAUUUCCUGAGUAGCGGCGAGCGAAAGGGAAAGAGCCCAAACCAAAGAUUUAUCUUUGGGGUUGCGGACAGAGCAUUAACGAGAAGUCGUAACUAACCGAACAUAACUGGAAAGUUAGACCGUAGGAGGUAAUAGUCCUGUAGGUGAAAGUUAAGAUAAUCAAGCUCUGAUCCAGAGUACCACGAGACACGUGAAACCUUGUGGGAAGCAGGGAGGACCACCUCCCAAGGCUAAAUACUACCUGAUGACCGAUAGUGAAGCAGUACCGUGAGGGAAAGGUGAAAAGAACCCCGGGAGGGGAGUGAAAUAGAACCUGAAACCGUGUGCCUACAACCGGUCAAAGCCCCAUAUGAGGGUGAUGACGUGCUUUUUGUAGAACGAGCCAACGAGUUACGGUAUGUAGCAAGGUUAAGUACUUAAGGUACGGAGCCGAAGGGAAACCGAGUCUUAAUAGGGCGACUAGUUGCAUGCCGUAGACCCGAAACCGGGUGACCUAUCCAUGGCCAGGUUGAAGCGAGGGUAAAACUUCGUGGAGGACCGAACCACGUUGCUGUUGAAAAAGCAUGGGAUGAGCUGUGGAUAGCGGAGAAAUUCCAAUCGAACUCGGAGAUAGCUGGUUCUCCCCGAAAUAGCUUUAGGGCUAGCCUCAUAUUAGAUACCCGGAGGUAAAGCACUGAAUGGCCUAGCGCCCGAGAGGGUAGCGAAGCCUAUCAAACUAAGAAUGCCGGAGUAUUGAUGUAUGGGAGUCAGACAGUGUGAGAUAAAUCUCAUUGUCAAAAGGGAAACAGCCCAGAUCUACAGCUAAGGUCCCAAAUUGUAUCUAAGUGGAAAACGAUGUGGAAAUACGCAGACAACCAGGAUGUUGGCUCAGAAGCAGCCACUCAUUUAAAGAGUGCGUAAUAGCUCACUGGUCGAGCGUCUCUGCGCGGAAAAUUUAACGGGGCUAAGAUACAAACCGAAGCUUAGGCUGCACGUAAGUGCGGGGUAGGGGAGCGUUGUGUAAGCGGAGAAACAGUAGCGUAAGCGGCUGUGGAGUUUACAGAAGUGAGAAUGCCGGAAUGAGUAGCGCGAAUGUGGUGAGAAUCCACAUGGCCGGAAACCUCAGGUUUUUGGAGGAAGGUUCGUCCGCUCCAAGUUAGGCGGGAGCUAAGGUCAGGCCGAAAGGCGUAGCCGAUGCACAGACGGUAGAGAUUCCGUCCCCACCGAAAGAUUUAAGCGCAGGGACACUUUUAGAAGGUCGGAGCCAGGUGUUGGUUCUGGUAGAGAUCGAGGGAAGAUUAGUACCGAAGUCCGGCUGGAUAAGAGGCGAGAAAAGCUGCGUGUAUAUCUAAGGUGCCCGUACCGCAAACCGACACAGGUAGGUAGGAAGAAGAUUCUAAGGCCAACGGGAGAAGGGUUGUUAAGGAACUCGGCAAAUUGACCCCGUAACUUCGGGAGAAGGGGUGCUCCAGAGAUGGAGCCGCAGAGAAUCGGCCCAAGCAACUGUUUACCAAAAACACAGGUUUGUGCUAAAUCGAAAGAUGACGUAUACGAGCUGACGCCUGCCCGGUGCUGGAAGGUUAAGAGGAGAUGUGCAAGCAUUGAAUCGAAGCCCCAGUGAACGGCGGCCGUAACUAUAACGGUCCUAAGGUAGCGAAAUUCCUUGUCAGGUAAG